RNAcentral lists this ribosomal RNA (525 nucleotides) under uncultured bacterium. RNAcentral's name for it is "bacterial SSU rRNA". It matches the Rfam family "Bacterial small subunit ribosomal RNA", at positions 356 to 896 of the family's 1533-position model. The record is from RNAcentral.
GGGGAAUUCUCCGCAAUGGGCGAAAGCCUGACGGAGCAAUACCGCGUGAGGGAUGACGGCCUAUGGGUUGUAAACCUCUUUUUUCAGGGAGGAUAAUGACGUGUACCUGAAGAAUAAGCAUCGGCUAACUCCGUGCCAGCAGCCGCGGUAAGACGGGGGAUGCAAGUGUUAUCCGGAAUCACUGGGCGUAAAGCGUCUGUAGGUGGUCCAAUAAGUCAACUGUUAAAUCUUGAGGCUCAACUUCAAAAUCGCAGUCGAAACUAUUAGACUAGAGUAUAGUAGGGGUAAAGGGAAUCUCCAGUGGAGCGGUGAAAUGCGUAGAGAUUGGAAAGAACACCGAUGGCGAAGGCACUUCACUGGGCUAUUACUGACACUCAGAGACGAAAGCUAGGGUAGCAAAUGGGAUUAGAUACCCCAGUAGUCCUAGCCGUAAACAAUGGAUACUAGAUGUUGAACAGAUCGACCUGUGCAGUAUCAAAGCUAACGCGUUAAGUAUCCCGCCUGGGAAGUAUGCUCGCAAGAGUG